AGUGCGGAAUAUUGUGCAAUGGGCGAAAGCCUGACGCAGCGACGCCGCGUGAGGGAUGAAGGUCUUCGGAUCGUUAACCUCUGUCAGAGGGGAAGAAGUGUGUCUAUUCAAAUAGGGUAGGCAUUAGACGGUACCCUCAAAGGAAGCACCGGCUAACUCCGUGCCAGCAGCCGCGGUAAUACGGAGGGUGCGAGCAUUAAUCGUAAUUACUGGGCGUAAAGCGCACGUAGGUGGUUUUAUAAGUCAGGGGUAAAAUCCCACCGCUCAACGGAGGAACAGCUUUUGAUACUGCAUCACUAGAGUAUCGGAGAGGGUGGCGGAAUUCCAGGUGUAGGAGUGAAAUCCGUAGAUAUCUGGAGGAACACCGGUGGAGAAGGCGGCCACCUGGUCGAAAACUGACACUGAGGUGCGAAAGCAGGGGGAGCAAACAGGAUUAGAUACCCUGGUAGUCCAUGCUGUAAACGAUCGAAAGUAGGUGCUGGGGAGAUAAAUUUUCAGUGCCGUAGUUAACGCGUUAAGCACCCCGCCUGGGGAGUGCGGUCGCAAGGCUGAAAGUCAAAGAAAAUAGACGGGGGCCCGCACAAGCGGUGGAGUAUGUGGUUUAAUUUGAUGCAACGCGAAGAACCUUACCCAGGCUUGACAUCCAGGGGACCUCUAGGAAAUUAGAGGGUGCCCUUCGGGGAGCCCUGAGACAGGUGCUGCAUGGCUGUCGUCAGCUCGUGCCGUGAGGUGUUGGGUUAAGUCCCGCAACGAGCGCAACCCUUAUCUUUAGUUGCCAGCGAGUAAAGUUGGGCACUCUAGAGAGACUGCCCCGGUUAACGGGGAGGAAGGUGGGGAGGAGGUCAAGUCAUCAUGGCCCUUACGCCUGGGGCUACACACGUACUACAAUGGUGCGCACAAAGGGAAGCAAGACCGUGAGGUGGAGCCAAUACCUAAAAACGCAUUUCAGUCCGGAUUGGAGUCUGCAACUCGGUUCCAUGAAGUGGGAAUCGCUAGUAAUUAGAGAUCAGCAUGCUCGGGUGAAUGCGUUCCCGGGCCUUGUACACACCGCCCGUCACACCACGAAAGUUGGUUUUACCCGAAGCCGGCGAGCUAACGAGCAAUCGAGGCAGUCGUCUACGGUAGGUCCGAUGAUUGGGG
Molecule: ribosomal RNA, 1140 nt
Filed under: uncultured bacterium
Lineage: Bacteria
Description: bacterial SSU rRNA
Rfam family: Bacterial small subunit ribosomal RNA
Source: RNAcentral